AAAUCCCGUAGCUUUUCAUUUCCAUAAAUCCAAAACAAAGUUUCAGACCCUUCAUUUUCGUCUUCUAGCGGAGGUUUUUGUACCUCCUUCGCAGCUCACCUCCCUGCUCCUUCUUCGUUGUCCUUCCAUCUCCAUCGCCCAUCAUCGAUUAUCCUCAACAAUCUUCAUCCAUCAUCACGGUCCAUCAUCCUUCAUUACCAUCGAUCAACAUCAUCAGCAAUCCCCCCCGUUCAUCAGCGUUCAUCAUUGAGUGUCAUUCAUCAUCCAAUUCAAUCUAAGGGGUCCAAUUCGCUGCUAACCGUCAAUCAAUCAUAGUCAUCCAUUUUCAUUAAUUCCGUACAUCAAUCCGCGCUCAAUUAUUCGACAGAACACAAUGGAGGUUCGGCCGGAUUUAUUUUUGGUUUGGGCGAAUUCCAUUCAGGUUCGACCGAGCCUCAUACUUGCAGGAACUUUUCUACAUUUCGGGUUCGGCCGAACCAAAGUUCGGGUUCGAACGAACCAAUUACUCUGUUUUAUCCUCUAUUCUUGCACUGGAGGAAAAAUCGUCAUGUGCUUUCCUUCAAGUGCGGCUCAUUUAGUAAAUUGGCAGCACUUGAGAGCAUGAAAAUAAAAGAAAACAAAUUCAUUUUCACAAGUGCAGGCUCAUUUUAAAAAAUUGGUAGCACUUAAACUCAAGUGCGGGCUUUAAACUCAAGUGCGGGCUCAUUUUACAAAAGCUGCACAUAAGAUUUCUAAAAUAUUGCAAAAAAAAGAAUAAUGUUUCUAAAAUCAGAGAAGCCUUCGUUUUCUCUCUCCCCGAUUCUUCUCCCUCUUCCUCUUCAGCUUUGUUUUCUCUCUCCUCUGUCGUCGCCUUUGCUUCUUCAUCGCCGGAGAUCGAUCUCCCUCACCGCCAUUGAUCUCUACCCUCUUCCAGAUCAGACUAAUUCAGGCUGAACAUUCUUGCCUACCACAAAUGACGAAAGCCUGACAGUGAGAACAUUUGCCAACUUGACUGCAGACUUGACAUGAUGGAAAGCUUUAUCUAAGUUCCAGGAGAUCUCCACUUAUUUAUUAACAGAGAAGUAUAAUCUCUAGCUUAAUGAGGGCAAAGUUUUUUGAGCAGUCUGGUGGCUAACCGACGUUGACUUCUUUAUAUGGAAGAUGACAGAAUCUGCAUUCUUCAGCACUGUAUUCAUCAAUUCAAGGGAGCAACCGUUCACCACCGAGGAGAUAAAUUAAGUUCGAGACAAGUUGACAAACUUUAUUACCAGUUAUUGUCUUUGAUAUUUUGAACUACUUUUUAUUGUAAAGAAUCUUAGAUUAUGGAUGCUUGUUUUUCAAUUGAUAGUAAUAUAAUCGACUUUCAGAUUUAUAAUUAUAUACUAUUUAAUUUAAUUAUCUAUGUAAUUAGUUAUUAUUAGUGA
Spinacia oleracea (spinach) is the source of this 1403-nucleotide long non-coding RNA. RefSeq lists it as uncharacterized. The transcript is spliced from 3 exons. NCBI's taxonomy places the organism in Eukaryota, Viridiplantae, Streptophyta, Magnoliopsida, Caryophyllales, Amaranthaceae. The record is from RefSeq and is a predicted model, not a curated record.